This 485-nucleotide ribosomal RNA is filed under the name uncultured bacterium. RNAcentral describes it as "partial 16S ribosomal RNA". It matches the Rfam family "Bacterial small subunit ribosomal RNA", at positions 899 to 1397 of the family's 1533-position model. The record is from RNAcentral.
ACUCAAAGGAAUUGACGGGGGCCCGCACAAGCAGCGGAGCGUGUGGUUUAAUUCGAUGUUACACGAAGAACCUUACCCAGGUUUGACAUGUGAGUGGUAGGGAUCCGAAAGGUGACCGACCCGCAAGGGAGCUUUCACAGGUGCUGCAUGGCUGUCGUCAGCUCGUGUCGUGAGAUGUUCGGUUAAGUCCGCUAACGAGCGCAACCCUCGCUACGUGUUAUACGUGUCACGUGGGACCGCCGGUAUCAAGCCGGAGGAAGGUGGGGAUGACGUCAAGUCAGCAUGGCCUUUAUAUCUGGGGCUACACACACGCUACAAUGGUCGGUACAAUGGGUCGCUAAGCCGCGAGGUGGAGCCAAUCCCCAAAGCCGGCCUCAGUUCAGAUCACAGGCUGCAACUCGCCUGUGUGAAGUCGGAGUUGCUAGUAAAUGCGCGUCAGCUAUAGUGCAUUGAAUACGUUCUCGGGCCUUGUACACACCGCCCGU